Molecule: non-coding RNA, 328 nt
Organism: Camelina sativa (false flax)
Lineage: Eukaryota; Viridiplantae; Streptophyta; Magnoliopsida; Brassicales; Brassicaceae
Source: RefSeq, a predicted model, not a curated record
UACAACCAGAGAUGUCACUAUUGUUGAUCUAGAUAUGGGUCGAGUUAAGUCAAGAAGGAAAAUGAUGUGUCGCCAUUAUUCACUCAGCAUAUGGAUUAGGAACACAUUGACUUUAUGUCAUAAAUGUCUUAUCUUUUCAAAAGAAUAUUGGGUGGCAGAGGAAGUCACUUUAUUAACUGCUAUGAAUGAGACUUCCAAAUGGUAAAACUAGAAAGCGGAGUAGUGCAUUAAUAUCUUCGCUGCAUCCAGGCCGAUAUCAGCUCGAUGAAGUCUGUAAACUGUGGAACACCAUCUUUCAAGAUUUCAGCUUAUUUUGAUUGCCAAAUGA